GUGGUUGAGAGCCGAGUCUAUCCGAGGAGCCUGGGUACAUGGGAGUUGCAGCAUAUGGGAUCUAAUUCUCUGACCAGGGAUUGAAUCUGGACCCCUUGCAUUGGGAGCAUGGAGUCUUAGCCACUGGAUCACCAAAGAAGUCCCAGUCCUCACAUUUUCUGACAGCUUACUACAUGCCAGUCCUCCUAGAUGAGAGACCUGAUGUAGCAACAUGGGUGACCUUUCUGUCCUUCGAGAAGGAAUGACUAAAACAAGGCUAGAGAUGGAGAAGUAUUCUGGUCCUUGGCAGUUCCUCCAGGACACUACUGAUGUGCUUUUCUACGUGGGAGACCUCAGCAUACUACAGAAUUUCUGUUCCCAAGACACCUCCAGCUUUAUCUAGAAUCCCCUUUCCC
Long non-coding RNA from Bos taurus (domestic cattle), 395 nucleotides. NCBI's taxonomy places the organism in Eukaryota, Metazoa, Chordata, Mammalia, Artiodactyla, Bovidae. The record is from Ensembl.